Molecule: ribosomal RNA, 450 nt
Filed under: uncultured bacterium
Lineage: Bacteria
Description: partial 16S ribosomal RNA
Rfam family: Bacterial small subunit ribosomal RNA
Source: RNAcentral
GUGGGGAAUAUUGGACAAUGGGCGAAAGCCUGAUCCAGCCAUGCCGCGUGUGUGAAGAAGGUCUUCGGAUUGUAAAGCACUUUAAGUUGGGAGGAAGGGCAGUAAGUUAAUACCUUGCUGUUUUGACGUUACCGACAGAAUAAGCACCGGCUAACUUCGUGCCAGCAGCCGCGGUAAUACGAAGGGUGCAAGCGUUAAUCGGAAUUACUGGGCGUAAAGCGCGCGUAGGUGGUUCGUUAAGUUGGAUGUGAAAGCCCCGGGCUCAACCUGGGAACUGCAUCAAAAACUGGCGAGCUAGAGUACGGUAGAGGGUGGUGGAAUUUCCUGUGUAGCGGUGAAAUGCGUAGAUAUAGGAAGGAACACCAGUGGCGAAGGCGACCACCUGGACUGAUACUGACACUGAGGUGCGAAAGCGUGGGGAGCAAACAGGAUUAGAAACCCGAGUAGUCC